AGGCACCUACAAAAGGCCACCGAAGAUGCAGUCAAUUAAAGAAAGAAAUUAUGCUGAUGACGCUGAUGACGACAUGAGUGAUGUUUCUGGCAGUGAAUAUGGCGAUGGAGGGGUGUGCCAUAAGACAGUUAAGAAGACUGUCAAGAAAAAAAAGACAAUGUUGGGAAGACAUGGAUUGGUCUAUGACGCAUCUUUCACACAUGUCCAAGAACAACCAUCAACAUCAGGGAGCGCCACCAAACGAAAGAGGAUUGCAACACUUACACAUGACGACGAUGAUGUUGAAGACAGCGAUGAAGAGGACAAAAAGACUGGACACAGAUCUCUUGGGAAGAAGAAGACAGCAGUUCGAAAAGAACAUAGUGAAGUUGAAUUGGAAACUAAAAAAAGGAAGAGACCCGGACUCCAAAGGAAAGAGCAGCAAUUGAUCGACACCUUUCAAAAUUUGUUGCAUUAAAGAAAGUUCCAAGGAAAGAUGACUGCGUUAAGUGUCGUAGUCAAGCAUCGCCAGACCUUGAAGACCGCACAUGGAGAGAUAUUCCACAAUGAAAUUAUUAAAAGAUAUGUAAUUGGGAAAAAAGCUUGAAGAUGAAAGAUGAGAGAGGGAGAGACAUAGGGGGGAGAUAGAUGAAGGGAGAGAGGGAAUGGGAUGAGAGAGAGGGGAGAAA
Long non-coding RNA from Hippocampus zosterae (dwarf seahorse), 668 nucleotides. RefSeq lists it as uncharacterized. Lineage: Eukaryota; Metazoa; Chordata; Actinopteri; Syngnathiformes; Syngnathidae. The record is from RefSeq and is a predicted model, not a curated record. The transcript has 5 exons.